UGGGAAUUUUGGACAAUGGGCGCAAGCCUGAUCCAGCCAUGCCGCGUGCGGGAAGAAGGCCUUCGGGUUGUAAACCGCUUUUGUCAGGGAAGAAAUCUUCUGAGUUAAUACCUCGGGAGGAUGACGGUACCUGAAGAAUAAGCACCGGCUAACUACGUGCCAGCAGCCGCGGUAAUACGUAGGGUGCAAGCGUUAAUCGGAAUUACUGGGCGUAAAGCGUGCGCAGGCGGUUUUGUAAGACAGAGGUGAAAUCCCCGGGCUCAACCUGGGAACUGCCUUUGUGACUGCAAGGCUUGAGUGCGGCAGAGGGGGAUGGAAUUCCGCGUGUAGCAGUGAAAUGCGUAGAUAUGCGGAGGAACACCGAUGGCGAAGGCAAUCCCCUGGGCCUGCACUGACGCUCAUGCACGAAAGCGUGGGGAGCAAACAGGAUUAGAUACCCUGGUAGUCCACGCCCUAAAACGAUGUCAACUGGUUGUUGGGAAGGUUCCUUCUCAGUAACGUAGCUAACGCGUGAAGUUGACCGCCUGGGGAGUACGGCCGCAAGGUUGAAACUUAAAUGAAUUGACGGGGUCAUAGCUGUUU
Molecule: ribosomal RNA, 582 nt
Filed under: uncultured bacterium
Lineage: Bacteria
Description: partial 16S ribosomal RNA
Rfam family: Bacterial small subunit ribosomal RNA
Source: RNAcentral